GACGAACGCUGGCGGCGUGCCUAAUACAUGCAAGUUGAGCGCUGAAGGUUGGUACUUGUACCAACUGGAUGAGCAGCGAACGGGUGAGUAACGCGUGGGGAAUCUGCCUUUGAGCGGGGGACAACAUUUGGAAACGAAUGCUAAUACCGCAUAAAAACUUUAAACACAAGUUUUAAGUUUGAAAGAUGCAAUUGCAUCACUCAAAGAUGAUCCCGCGUUGUAUUAGCUAGUUGGUGAGGUAAAGGCUCACCAAGGCGAUGAUACAUAGCCGACCUGAGAGGGUGAUCGGCCACAUUGGGACUGGGACACGGCCCAAACUCCUACGGGAGGCAGCAGUAGGGAAUCUUCGGCAAUGGACGAAAGGCUGACCGAGCAACGCCGCGUGAGGGAAGAAGGGUUUCGGAUCGUAAAACUCUGUUGGUAGAGAAGAACGUUGGUGAGAGUGGAAAGCUCAUCAAGUGACGGUAACUACCCAGAAAGGGACGGCUAACUACGUG
RNAcentral lists this ribosomal RNA (497 nucleotides) under uncultured bacterium. RNAcentral describes it as "partial 16S ribosomal RNA". It matches the Rfam family "Bacterial small subunit ribosomal RNA", at positions 28 to 507 of the family's 1533-position model. The record is from RNAcentral.